AUGAACUAAACACAUUUUCUUCUUUCAAAAACAAUAGUUGUUAGUCAAUCAUGAGUGAAAGAUAAUAUUUCUCUCUACUUAUAUGAAGAUGGGAAUUAUAUGAAGAUCGUCCGUGAUCAAAUUGCUGAGCAAAUGUGGUCCGCAAGUCGAAAUAGUUCUCAUCGACAUUGUUAGAUUUUAUUUU
RNAcentral lists this small RNA (184 nucleotides) under Arabidopsis thaliana (thale cress). RNAcentral describes it as "ATSL082680". Lineage: Eukaryota; Viridiplantae; Streptophyta; Magnoliopsida; Brassicales; Brassicaceae. The record is from RNAcentral.